GAUGAACGCUGGCGGCGUGCCUAAUACAUGCAAGUCGAGCGAGAAUCUGAUGAACUGAGAUUCGUCGAAGUGAAUCAGAGGAAAGCGGCGGACGGGUGAGUAACGCGUAGGCAACCUGCCCUUAGCAGAGGGAUAGCCAUUGGAAACGAUGAUUAAAACCUCAUAAUGCUGAGCUGACACAUGUCAGCUUUGCCAAAGAUUUAUCGGCUAAGGAUGGGCCUGCGUCUGAUUAACUAGUUGGUGGGGUAACGGCUCACCAAGGUGACGAUCAGUAGCCGACCUGAGAGGGUGAUCGGCCACAUUGGAACUGAGACACGGUCCAAACUUC
This 328-nucleotide ribosomal RNA is filed under the name uncultured Clostridiaceae bacterium. Its description in RNAcentral is "bacterial SSU rRNA". It matches the Rfam family "Bacterial small subunit ribosomal RNA", at positions 28 to 339 of the family's 1533-position model. Lineage: Bacteria; Bacillati; Bacillota; Clostridia; Eubacteriales; Clostridiaceae. The record is from RNAcentral.